RNAcentral lists this ribosomal RNA (500 nucleotides) under uncultured bacterium. Its description in RNAcentral is "bacterial SSU rRNA". It matches the Rfam family "Bacterial small subunit ribosomal RNA", at positions 8 to 518 of the family's 1533-position model. The record is from RNAcentral.
AGAGUUUGAUCAUGGCUCAGGAUGAACGCUGGCGGCGUGCUUAACACAUGCAAGUCGAACGGAGUAUAUUUAAAAGCUUGCUUUGUUAUACUUAGUGGCGGACGGGUGAGUAACGCGUGGGUAACCUGCCUUAUACCGGGGGACAACAGUUGGAAACGACUGCUAAUACCGCAUAAGCGCACAGUCUCGCAUGAGACAGUGUGAAAAACUCCGGUGGUAUAAGAUGGACCCGCGUCUGAUUAGCCAGUUGGCGGUGUAACGGACCACCAAAGCGACGAUCAGUAGCCGGCCUGAGAGGGUGAACGGCCACAUUGGGACUGAGACACGGCCCAAACUCCUACGGGAGGCAGCAGUGGGGAAUAUUGCACAAUGGAGGAAACUCUGAAUGCAGCGACGCCGCGUGAGUGAAGAAGUAUUUCGGUAUGUAAAGCUCUAUCAGCAGGAAAGAAAAUGACGGUACCUGACUAAGAAGCCCCGGCUAACUACGUGCCAGCCGCGGC